AUGGCAAAGGAAACUCUUGGGAAAACAGUCAAGCAACUGAAGCAAGAGCGGACCUUAGCUAAAUCUGCUUUCACCAAGCAAGCAAACUACCUGAGCAAAGCUGCAGAUGGUAUGAUUAAGGAUGAACUACAAGAGGAGUUCAGCAAGCUCAGUUCUCUGGCAAGGUAUGUCAGCGAUUCAAAUGAUGACUACAGGGCUGGCCUACUGGCUGAAGCGGGAACUGAGGAGGGUGAAGAAGUCAAGCUCGACAAGCACCAGCAGGCUGAGCUUGAAAGGACAAUGGAAGAGUGCGACGUGAGACUGGGGGGAAUCCGUGAAGCAGUCCAAUCCAACCUCUGGUCAAGAUAUGGUAAAGAGGAGGUAGACUUUGCAAUCCAAGAAGCGGGAAAAGCCUGUGAUAGAGCCCAAGCAAGCCCCAUCACUGCUAUCAAUAGAGAUGGCUAUGAACUGCAGCUGGAAAGAGUGAGGAGGCUAAUUCAUGAUGCAACUGUAAGCCUGAAAGACUGGGAAAAAUGGAUCUCACAUGAUCAGACAGCACACUUGAAAGGCACGUUAAAAGACCUGAGAAUAUUCGGCAGCAACCUCGAGGCCAGAAGAGCAGAAUUCCUCACUGCACAAAAAAUUGCAGAAGAGGAAAGAAGAGGUCCAGAGCCUCAACCAACAGCAGUUCCACAACCAGUGGUGAGAAUAAAGCCAACCAGUCUACCUAAAUUCACUGGGUUUAAGAGGAAUUUCCAUAGAUGGAGGAGAGACUGGGAAAAUCUGCAAAAGCAGGGAGAGCCGACUGGCUCAGUGGAAGUGAAGAAGUUCCAACUCCUUGACAGUGUGGACGAGAGAAUAUGUAGAGACCUGCGCCUGCCAACAUACAACAGUGCUGAUGAAAUAUUUAGAGUACUUCAAAACAGGUAUGGAGAUAAGCCAACAAUUGCCUUGGAGAUAAUUGAGGACCUGGAGAGGAUCCCUCCUUUAAAGUCACACCAGCCAAGGAAGGUAAUUGACCUAAUUCAAGCUGUGGAAAAGGCCCUGAAUGACCUCACGGAGCUCGAAAGUACUGGAGCCAUAAAAAAUCCCCUUGUGAUCAGAUCCAUAGAGAGCAAGCUGCCAGAUAAUAUAAAGAGGGACUGGCUGACUUUCAUGGUCAAUCCAAGAAAUGGAGUCACACUUGACAAUCACUUUGACAUCCUUCUAACAUUCUUAAAGACACAAGAGGACAUUCUAGAGAAACUAGACCAAUUGGGUGUAGGUGAAAAACCUGAAAAGAAAGCCACAUACCUGGAGAAGAGGUAUGCCUCGACAAAGUCCACGAGGAAAGGAGGAUGUGUUGUCUGUGGAGAUGAAAAGCACCGUGAGAAGAUAUUCUUUUGUAAGCAGUUCAAAGAACUAAAGCCUGGUGAGAAGCUGAAUGCUGUCGAAAGACUGGGAGCAUGCAGAAGAUGCCUCAGAUGUCAUUCAGAGGAUGAUGAAUGUACGGACACAUACCUGUGCAGGAACAGAGACUGCAGGAGAGGAAGCUCUUCAGAUCACCAUUUCUUUCUCUGCCUGAAAGGAGGAUUCAAGGGGAAAGAAUCUGUGAAAGUGGGAAAACCCAGCACUAGGAGGCAAACAUUCACAGAGGAGCAAGAGGAAUUAAUAUCUGAGCUUACCCCGGAUAUGGCAGAAAAAUUCAGGAGAGCCUUCACCAACAUGGCUGCAAAAUCACACUGCACUGGAAGAAGCCUUCCUGGAGUGAUGGACUCAAGCACACGUGAGUUACCAGUUAUUCUUAUGCUUCUCGAAGUAACCACCAACGCAGGACAGAAAAUUGGAACUCUCAUUGACUUAGCAUCAGAUACCAACUACAUCACUCAUGUAGCUGCCAGGAGACUGAAGCUUCAAAGUGAAAAGAUCACGCUUGUCGUCCAUGGAGUUGGAGGCAUGGCCAUGAAGGUAAAGACCAAAAGAUACUUACUCAAGGUAAGAGUCAAGACACCUAGAGGCACGGAGAGAGCUCAUGAGCUGAUCUGUUAUGGGUUGGAUGAAAUUGCAAAAGUUCACAGAGUAAUCAAAGCACAGCAACUCAAGAAGUUCUUCCCCAAUUCCAACCUGGAAGAUCUUCACAGACCAGAACAUGUGGAGCUUCUCAUAAGCCACCGUGAAGGAAGACUUGCUCCACAGAGAGUAAAGGUAGUAGGAGAUCUUGUCCUGUGGGAAAGCCCUUUAGGAAAGACCGUUGGCGGAGCACAUCCAGACCUCUGUGAAGUAGUGGACAUGGCCUUGCACAAUUCU
This is a long non-coding RNA of Cyprinus carpio carpio, 2265 nucleotides long. The record is from Ensembl. NCBI's taxonomy places the organism in Eukaryota, Metazoa, Chordata, Actinopteri, Cypriniformes, Cyprinidae.